Molecule: ribosomal RNA, 386 nt
Filed under: uncultured bacterium
Lineage: Bacteria
Description: bacterial SSU rRNA
Rfam family: Bacterial small subunit ribosomal RNA
Source: RNAcentral
AUUGAACGCUGGCGGCAUGCCUUACACAUGCAAGUCGAACGGUAACAGCACUUCGGUGGCUGACGAGUGGCGAACGGGUGAGUAAUACAUCGGAACGUGCCCGAGAGUGGGGGAUAACGCAGCGAAAGCUGUGCUAAUACCGCAUACGAUCUACGGAUGAAAGCAGGGGAUUCGCAAGGACCUUGCGCUCAUGGAGUGGCCGAUGGCAGAUUAGGUAGUUGGUGGGAUAAAAGCUUACCAAGCCGACGAUCUGUAGCUGGUCUGAGAGGACGACCAGCCACACUGGGACUGAGACACGGCCCAGACUCCUACGGGAGGCAGCAGUGGGGAAUUUUGGACAAUGGGCGAAAGCCUGAUCCAGCCAUGCCGCGUGCAGGAUGAAGGCC